CCUACGGGAGGCAGCAGUGAGGAAUAUUGGUCAAUGGUCGGAAGCCUGAACCAGCCAAGUAGCGUGCAGGAUGACGGCCCUACGGGUUGUAAACUGCUUUUAUACGGGAAUAACGCGCGUUACGUGUAGGGCUUUGUAUGUACCGCAUGAAUAAGGACCGGCUAAUUCCGUGCCAGCAGCCGCGGUAAUACGGAAGGUCCGGGCGUUAUCCGGAUUUAUUGGGUUUAAAGGGAGCGUCGGCCGCAUGUUAAGCGUGCUGUGAAAUGGCGGGGCUCAACCCGGGCCCUGCGGCGCGAACUGGCGUGCUUGAGUCCGCGGAAGGCAGGCGGAAUUCGUCGUGUAGCGGUGAAAUGCUUAGAUAUGACGAAGAACCCCGAUUGCGAAGGCAGCUUGCUGCAGCGGAACUGACGCUGAUGCUCGAAGGCGCGGGUAUCGAACAGGAUUAGAUACCCGGGUAGUC
This 460-nucleotide ribosomal RNA is filed under the name uncultured bacterium. Its description in RNAcentral is "partial 16S ribosomal RNA". It matches the Rfam family "Bacterial small subunit ribosomal RNA", at positions 338 to 795 of the family's 1533-position model. The record is from RNAcentral.